Molecule: non-coding RNA, 29 nt
Filed under: Rattus norvegicus (Norway rat)
Lineage: Eukaryota; Metazoa; Chordata; Mammalia; Rodentia; Muridae
Source: RNAcentral
UCAAAUCUAGCUCGGAGUCUGUUCAUUCU